Long non-coding RNA from Venturia canescens, 1317 nucleotides. RefSeq lists it as uncharacterized. Lineage: Eukaryota; Metazoa; Arthropoda; Insecta; Hymenoptera; Ichneumonidae. The transcript has 2 exons. The record is from RefSeq and is a predicted model, not a curated record.
AUAAAAACGAUCCAGAUGUUUGGAAUAUAAUAGAAAAUGCUCUCGGUCAGGAAGAGAAUGACGUUGAUAAACUGAAAAACAGAAACAUUCGUUAUAUUCGAAGCAAAAAACCAUAAGAAAACCCAUGAACAUCGUCGCCCGUCCAUUCUGGCUCCCGGACAUCCUCAUCACACUGUUCUCUCUUCCUCGAACUCAAAAGUGUGCCACGGACGACAAAACACAAAUUCAAAAGGGGCCUUCGAUCUUAACGAGAGAAAACGACAGUUGGGAACAAAAAACAAUUGAAAUUCAGCAGGCGAAUAGAUCUCACGAAAUAAGCAAGAGUAGCGACGUGUUUAUGCUCAUUAACCUCGACUUCAUAGGCGCUUAUGAGACUUGAGCGAAAAUAUCAAAGUCGCAUCGUGUGGUCAAGGUCGAGCGUGUUUCAAAUUAUGAUUGAUAAUUACAGGGACAUUUGGAACUUUCAUUAUUUUUUUUCAUUUUUUUCAUUCUCGUAUCGUACUCCAAUGGAGAAAUCAAUCAUUUUCGUUACGAUAACAAAUUGAUUAUUGUAUCGAGAAUAAUUAAUUUUUUGCUCCAUUCUCGAAUCGCAUCAUUAUAGUACGCAAAUCGUACAAUUCAUUAAACGAAAGUAUUUUCAGAGUCUAACGACAGUAGGUGUGAUUGGGGAGGAAAAUUUUCAUCUCCGCUCAAAUAAUCAUCAAAUCCUGAUAAGCUUAAUUCUCUGCGACCCAGCGAGCUUCAUUUUUUUUAUCAAACGUGUUUGUUAAGAUCAAAGUGUAGAUUGACUGAUUAGCCAUCGAAUUAUUGACACAACAGGUGACAGAAUGUAUUUUGUUUUCUCGAAUUCACAAUCGGGAUCGAGGCUGUUGAACUCGCAGUGUACCUGACCUACAUAACGUAACACAAUUAUAUAUCUCAGGCGGUCAAUAUUGAUUUCCAGUUGAGAAAAUGUGGAAUUUCGAGUGAAAAGUUACUGAUUAUUCGAUUUAUUAAAUCGAUCGUAGAUUCGAUCGAAUCAUUUCUGAUCGUAAUAAAUACGAGAUUGUAAAAGCUUAAAAAAAGUGCUCGUCUCGUCCCCUGCGUGCGAUCGAAAAGUAUUCGAAAAGGAGCAUUCCAUUUUACGAAAUAUUUCCUCACGACAAAUCGAUUUUGUACGACACUUUAUUAACGUUUUAAUCGAAGUUAAAACAAAGAUUUUUUUAUCUGGUCCCUCGAUCAAUGAUAUUCAUCACUGUUGCUUGUACGAAGGAACGAGUAAAUCGUCUUUUAAGUGUUUGUAUUAAUGGAAUAAUACGAAAAAAAGUUGUCUGCUAA